Molecule: ribosomal RNA, 392 nt
Filed under: uncultured Gammaproteobacteria bacterium
Lineage: Bacteria; Pseudomonadati; Pseudomonadota; Gammaproteobacteria
Description: bacterial SSU rRNA
Rfam family: Bacterial small subunit ribosomal RNA
Source: RNAcentral
AAUGGGGGAAACCCUGAUGCAGCGAUGCCGCGUGAGUGAAGAAGGCCCUUGGGUUGUAAAACUCUUUCGUCGGGGAAGAAAAUGACUGUACCCGAAUAAGAAGGUCCGGCUAACUUCGUGCCAGCAGCCGCGGUAAUACGAAGGGACCUAGCGUAGUUCGGAAUUACUGGGCUCAAAGAGCUCGUAGGUGGUUAAAAAAGUUGAUGGUGAAAUCCCAAGGCUUAACCUUGGAACUGCCAUCAAAACUUUUUAGCUGGAGUAUGAUAGAGGAAAGUGGAAUUUCUAGUGUAGUGGUGAAAUUCGUAGAUAUUAGAAAGAACACCAAAUGCGAAGGCAACUUUCUGGAUCAUUACUGACACUGAGGAGCGAAAGCAUGGGUAGCGAAGAGGAUU